CCUACGGGGGGCAGCAGUAGGGAAUUUUCGUCAAUGGGCGCAAGCCUGAACGAGCAAUGCCGCGUGAACGAGGAAGGUCUUCGGAUCGUAAAGUUCUGUUGAAGGGGAAAAAGAGCGGAGAGAGGAAAUGGUCUCCGAUUGAUAUUACCCUUCGAGGAAGUCACGGCUAACUACGUGCCAGCAGCCGCGGUAAUACGUAGGUGGCGAGCGUUAUCCGGAAUGAUUGGGCGUAAAGGGUGCGUAGGCGGCCUGUUAAGUCAGCGGUAAAAGCCCGGGGCUCAACCCCGGCGAGCCGUUGAAACUGGCGGGCUGGAGUUGGAGAGAAGUACGCGGAAUGCGCGGUGUAGCGGUGAAAUGCUUAGAUAUCGCGCAGAACCCCGAUUGCGAAGGCAGCGUACCGGCUCCACACUGACGCUGAGGCACGAAAGCGUGGGUAUCGAACAGGAUUAGAUACCCUGGUAGUC
This 464-nucleotide ribosomal RNA is filed under the name uncultured bacterium. RNAcentral's name for it is "partial 16S ribosomal RNA". It matches the Rfam family "Bacterial small subunit ribosomal RNA", at positions 338 to 795 of the family's 1533-position model. The record is from RNAcentral.